RNAcentral lists this ribosomal RNA (236 nucleotides) under uncultured bacterium. RNAcentral's name for it is "partial 16S ribosomal RNA". It matches the Rfam family "Bacterial small subunit ribosomal RNA", at positions 118 to 351 of the family's 1533-position model. The record is from RNAcentral.
UGAGGAACAUGACUUUCGGCGGGGGAUAGCCGGCCCAACGGCCGGGUAAUACCGCGUACGACCUUUUGGGGACAUCCCCGAUUGGUGAAAGCAGCAAUGCGCCGAAAGAGUGCCUCGCGGCCUAUCAGCUAGUUGGUGGGGUAAUGGCUCACCAAGGCGACGACGGGUAGCUGGUCUGAGAGGAUGGCCAGCCACAUUGGGACUGAGACACGGCCCAGACUCCGUACGGGAGGCAG